CCUACGGGUGGCAGCAGUAGGGAAUCUUCCACAAUGGGCGAAAGCCUGAUGGAGCAACGCCGCGUGGGUGAAGAAGGUCUUCGGAUCGUAAAACUCUGUUGUUAGAGAAGAAAGUGCGUGAGAGUAACUGUUCACGUUUCGACGGUAUCUAACCAGAAAGCCACGGCUAACUACGUGCCAGCAGCCGCGGUAAUACGUAGGUGGCAAGCGUUAUCCGGAUUUAUUGGGCGUAAAGGGAACGCAGGCGGUCUUUUAAGUCUGAUGUGAAAGCCUUCGGCUUAACCGGAGUAGUGCAUUGGAAAAGGGGAGACUUGAGUGCAGAAGAGGAGAGUGGAACUCCAUGUGUAGCGGUGAAAUGCGUAGAUAUAUGGAAGAACACCAGUGGCGAAAGCGGCUCUCUGGUCUGUAACUGACGCUGAGGUUCGAAAGCGUGGGUAGCAAACAGGAUUAGAUACCCUUGUAGUC
Molecule: ribosomal RNA, 465 nt
Filed under: uncultured bacterium
Lineage: Bacteria
Description: partial 16S ribosomal RNA
Rfam family: Bacterial small subunit ribosomal RNA
Source: RNAcentral